AGAUUGAACGCUGGCGGCAUGCCUAACACAUGCAAGUCGAACGGGAGUAGCAAUACUCUAGUGGCGGACGGGUGAGGAAUACGUAGGAAUUUGCCCUUAAGUGGGGGAUAACCCGGGGAAACCCGGAUUAAUACCGCAUGACCUCGAAGAGCAAAGUGGGGGAUCGCAAGACCUCACGCUUUUGGAGAAGCCUACGUCGGAUUAGCUAGUUGGUGAGGUAAUGGCUCACCAAGGCGACGAUCCGUAACUGGUCUGAGAGGAUGAUCAGUCACACCGGAACUGAGACACGGUCCGGACUCCGUACGGGAGCAGCAGUGGGAAUAUGGACAAGUGGCGCAAGCCUGACUCCGAGCAAGUGCCGCGUGUGUAGAAG
Molecule: ribosomal RNA, 373 nt
Filed under: uncultured soil bacterium
Lineage: Bacteria
Description: bacterial SSU rRNA
Rfam family: Bacterial small subunit ribosomal RNA
Source: RNAcentral